CACGAAGGUUGGCUAAUCCUGGUCGGACAUCAGGAGGUUAGUGCAAUGGCAUAAGCCAGCUUGACUGCGAGCGUGACGGCGCGAGCAGGUGCGAAAGCAGGUCAUAGUGAUCCGGUGGUUCUGAAUGGAAGGGCCAUCGCUCAACGGAUAAAAGGUACUCCGGGGAUAACAGGCUGAUACCGCCCAAGAGUUCAUAUCGACGGCGGUGUUUGGCACCUCGAUGUCGGCUCAUCACAUCCUGGGGCUGAAGUAGGUCCCAAGGGUAUGGCUGUUCGCCAUUUAAAGUGGUACGCGAGCUGGGUUUAGAACGUCGUGAGACAGUUCGGUCCCUAUCUGCCGUGGGCGCUGGAGAACUGAGGGGGGCUGCUCCUAGUACGAGAGGACCGGAGUGGACGCAUCACUGGUGUUCGGGUUGUCAUGCCAAUGGCACUGCCCGGUAGCUAAAUGCGGAAGAGAUAAGUGCUGAAAGCAUCUAAGCACGAAACUUGCC
Molecule: ribosomal RNA, 490 nt
Filed under: Escherichia coli
Lineage: Bacteria; Pseudomonadati; Pseudomonadota; Gammaproteobacteria; Enterobacterales; Enterobacteriaceae
Description: partial 23S ribosomal RNA
Rfam family: Bacterial large subunit ribosomal RNA
Source: RNAcentral